CCUACGGGAGGCAGCAGUGGGGAAUUUUGGACAAUGGGCGCAAGCCUGAUCCAGCAAUGCCGCGUGAGUGAAGAAGGCCUUCGGGUUGUAAAGCUCUUUUGUCAGGGAAGAAAAGGUUACGAAUAAUACUCGUGGCUCAUGACGGUACCUGAAGAAUAAGCACCGGCUAACUACGUGCCAGCAGCCGCGGUAAUACGUAGGGUGCAAGCGUUAAUCGGAAUUACUGGGCGUAAAGCGUGCGCAGGCGGUUUUGUAAGUCUGUUGUGAAAUCCCCGGGCUCAACCUGGGAAUGGCAAUGGAGACUGCAAGGCUAGAGUUUGGCAGAGGGGGGUAGAAUUCCACGUGUAGCAGUGAAAUGCGUAGAUAUGUGGAGGAACACCGAUGGCGAAGGCAGCCCCCUGGGUCAAAACUGACGCUCAUGCACGAAAGCGUGGGGAGCAAACAGGAUUAGAUACCCUGGUAGUCCACGCCCUAAACGAUGUCUACUAGUUGUCGGGUCUUAAUUGACUUGGUAACGCAGCUAACGCGUGAAGUAGACCGCCUGGGGAGUACGGUCGCAAGAUUAAAACUCAAAGGAAUUGACGG
RNAcentral lists this ribosomal RNA (585 nucleotides) under uncultured bacterium. RNAcentral describes it as "bacterial SSU rRNA". It matches the Rfam family "Bacterial small subunit ribosomal RNA", at positions 338 to 916 of the family's 1533-position model. The record is from RNAcentral.